Molecule: long non-coding RNA, 165 nt
Filed under: Sus scrofa (pig)
Lineage: Eukaryota; Metazoa; Chordata; Mammalia; Artiodactyla; Suidae
Description: lncRNA (ENSSSCG00050037278.1, ENSSSCG00055023465.1)
Source: RNAcentral
AGAGACCCUUACAUGCUACCUCGCGUAUCCCGCUCAGCAUCGUGAGACAGGAAAGAAACCGAAAACAGGGUUUUCCAUGGCCGUGUCACAAGUUCCUACACAUUCGGCAGAUUAAAGCAGGUGCCCUCGUGAUCUCAUCAUUUCUGUGUGUCGGGAAUCUGGGUG